GCUACCAGCCAUAUCACCCUGCAACUCACAACUGGCAUCCCACUGAAGCUCAGCAGGUGUGAGCCUGGUCAGUACUCAGAUGGGAGACCUUCUGGGAAAAACAGGUUGCUGGUGAAG
This 117-nucleotide ribosomal RNA is filed under the name Lepisosteus oculatus (spotted gar). Lineage: Eukaryota; Metazoa; Chordata; Actinopteri; Semionotiformes; Lepisosteidae. The record is from RNAcentral.